CUGCUGCUAAAAAUUAGAAGACUUACUAGAGAGGCAAGCAGGUUGGCAAUUUCAAAUUCAGGCAGUCCCUCCACUGAGCAUUUCUUUGGCACCCACCAGAAUUUUAAAUAUUGCGCGCAAUCCAGCUCCCAUCCCCAAGAUGUGUUCUGUGCUUUAAGGAAGACUUCCAAGUCACUGCAAAGUCAGGAUACGUCUCCCAUUAAAGUGACAAACUACCACAGAUCUCAUUCUAUCAUCCAAUUUAGUCAUUAUGGCCCUUGGGAACAAGAUCAGUGAGGGGAUUUACAAAUUGCUAGGGCUUCCUUGGUAGCUUAGCUGGUAAAGAAUUCCCCUGCAAUGCAGGAGACCCCAGUUCAAUUCCUGGGUUGGGAAGAUUCCCUGGAGAAGGGAUAGACUACCCACUCCAGUAUUCUUGGACUUCCCUGGUGACUUAGUGGGUAAAGAAUCCACCUGUGAUGUGGGAGAUCUUCCCUGGGUUGGGAAGAUGGAGAAGGAAAAGGCUACCCACUUCAGUAUUCUGGCCUGGAGAAUUCCAUGGACUGUAUAGUCCAUGGGGUUACAAAGAGUCAGAUAUGACUGAGCAAUUUUCACUUACACUUAUGGCUCUCCAAAAGCGACUAGAUUUCCACACAAGAACAAACUGGGUUCUAGAGCAAGGAUGCUGUGAAAAUGAACAUUGACAGCACCGCACCAAGUAUGUGUUUGGGGUGAGGAUAUAGAAGGAAAAGGUGAGUUGAAAUAUCCUUUUCUCAUUUUGUCUAUAGCAGAGGAUCCUUAUCACAAAUAGUCAAAUCAGUGACUCACAAACUUAUCUGUGGUUCUCCACGUCUCAACUCAUCCACAACAACAAAAAAAAUGAAGGCAGCAGGGAAGUUCACUGUAUGUAGUCUAAGACUUGAGUCUGCUUCUAAAACUUCCAGUAUAUGAAUUCCACCUUUGACCACAGAGUUCACAUUUUGGUCACCACUGUAUCCUCAGCACAAUACAUGGACGGGUAGACCACAGGACGCCAAUAAAUAUGGGUGAUGUUCAUAUCCAGAAAAAUAUAAAACUGUAGGGGAGGGAAUUCCCUGGCGGUCUGGUGGUUAGGACUCCAUACUUUCACUGCUGAGGGACCAGAUUCAAUUCAGAGUCGGGGAACAAAGAACCCACAAACCGCUCCAAGGCCACAAAAAAAAAAAAAAUGUAGGGGAGAAUGGGUGAGAAGGGCUGCCCAGGAAGGAUCACUUAGCCCAUUCAAGCACGCCUCAGUGCCAAAACGCUGCUUGCAACUGAAUACUUCUAAGAAAUGUGAGAUUGGGGCUUCCCUGGUAAUUCAGUAGUUAAGACUUCGCCUUCCAAUAUGGGGUGAGGGUUCAAUUCCUGAUUCGGGAGCAAAGAUCCCAACAUACCUCAUGCCCAAAAAGCCAAAACAUAAACAACACUGCAACAGUUUAAUAAAGACUUUAAAAAUGGUUCACAUCAAAAACAAUUUUUUUUAUUAAAAAAAAAAUAAAGAAAUAGGGGAUUUCAGGAAAGUAGAUUUUAUGAUUUUCUUUUUUUUUUUUUGGAAGGAACACACUGGGAGCAAAAAAAACGCC
Long non-coding RNA from Bos taurus (domestic cattle), 1580 nucleotides. Lineage: Eukaryota; Metazoa; Chordata; Mammalia; Artiodactyla; Bovidae. The record is from Ensembl.